This 497-nucleotide ribosomal RNA is filed under the name uncultured bacterium. RNAcentral describes it as "partial 16S ribosomal RNA". It matches the Rfam family "Bacterial small subunit ribosomal RNA", at positions 28 to 507 of the family's 1533-position model. The record is from RNAcentral.
GAUGAACGCUGGCGGCGUGCCUAAUACAUGCAAGUCGAGCGAACAGACGAGGAGCUUGCUCCUUCGACGUUAGCGGCGGACGGGUGAGUAACACGUAGGUAACCUACCUAUAAGACUGGGAUAACUUCGGGAAACCGGAGCUAAUACCGGAUAAUAUUUCGAACCGCAUGGUUCGAUAGUGAAAGAUGGCUUUGCUAUCACUUAUAGAUGGACCUGCGCCGUAUUAGCUAGUUGGUAAGGUAACGGCUUACCAAGGCAACGAUACGUAGCCGACCUGAGAGGGUGAUAGGCCACACUGGAACUGAGACACGGUCAAGACUCCUACGGGAGGCAGCAGUAGGGAAUCUUCCGCAAUGGGCGAAAGCCUGACGGAGCAACGCCGCGUGAGUGAUGAAGGUCUUCGGAUCGUAAAACUCUGUUAUUAGGGAAGAACAAACGUGUAAGUAACUGUGCACGUCUUGACGGUACCUAAUCAGAAAGCCACGGCUAACUACGUG